Molecule: non-coding RNA, 575 nt
Organism: Pogona vitticeps (central bearded dragon)
Lineage: Eukaryota; Metazoa; Chordata; Lepidosauria; Squamata; Agamidae
Source: the annotation of a RefSeq genome assembly
AGGCAGUCCCUAGAACCAUUCAAACAGUCAGAGACAUGACCCUUUGGUUGAAUCUUCUCCUGUUCUCUGCCUUUUUCUCAGAAUGUCGUUCAGCGGUGCAGCUGGUGGAGACGGGAGGAGGUGUUGUGUCCCCAGGAGGCUCCCUCCGCCUCACCUGCAAAGCUUCAGGAUUCCCUUUUAGCGGCUAUAGCAUGCAUUGGGUCCGCCAGGCUGCCGGGAAAGGCCUCGAGUGGGUGGCAGGAAUAAGGUAUGAUGGUGCUGAUCAGUGGUACAACUCCAAGGUUCAGGGAAGAUUCACCAUCUCCAGAGACAACCCUCAGAGUUCAGUGGAUCUGCGGAUGGGAAGCUUGAAGCCCGAAGACUCUGGCGUGUAUUACUGUGUAAGGGACACAGUUACAACUUCUGCUUUCAAGCUUGUACAAAAACCUCAGAUCCCCUUGAGUGUGGAGUGUGGAGGCAAGAGUUCAACCCUCAUUUUCUCUACUGCUGGAAUGGAGGAGGCAGAGAGGAAAACAUGGCCAGUGACAGAGACAUUAAAAAUAGAACAUUGUGAGGAAUCAUGGUCAGGAAACUAA